Molecule: ribosomal RNA, 207 nt
Filed under: uncultured bacterium
Lineage: Bacteria
Description: partial 16S ribosomal RNA
Rfam family: Bacterial small subunit ribosomal RNA
Source: RNAcentral
CACGUAGGCGGAUUUGUAAGUCAGGGGUGAAAUCCCGGGGCUCAACCUCGGAACUGCCUUUGAUACUGCGAAUCUCGAGUCCGAUAGAGGUGGGUGGAAUUCCUAGUGUAGAGGUGAAGUUCGUAGAUAUUAGGAAGAACACCGGUGGCGAAGGCGGCCCACUGGAUCGGUACUGACGCUGAGGUGCGAAAGCGUGGGGAGCAAACA